This 465-nucleotide ribosomal RNA is filed under the name Vreelandella stevensii. RNAcentral's name for it is "partial 16S ribosomal RNA". It matches the Rfam family "Bacterial small subunit ribosomal RNA", at positions 338 to 795 of the family's 1533-position model. The record is from RNAcentral. Lineage: Bacteria; Pseudomonadati; Pseudomonadota; Gammaproteobacteria; Oceanospirillales; Halomonadaceae.
CUUACGGGGGGCUGUAGUGGGGAAUAUUGGACAAUGGGGGCAACCCUGAUCCAGCCAUGCCGCGUGUGUGAAGAAGGCCCUCGGGUUGUAAAGCACUUUCAGUGAGGAAGAACGCCUGGUGGUUAAUACCCAUCAGGAAAGACAUCACUCACAGAAGAAGCACCGGCUAACUCCGUGCCAGCAGCCGCGGUAAUACGGAGGGUGCGAGCGUUAAUCGGAAUUACUGGGCGUAAAGCGCGCGUAGGUGGCUUGAUAAGCCGGUUGUGAAAGCCCCGGGCUCAACCUGGGAACGGCAUCCGGAACUGUCAAGCUAGAGUGCAGGAGAGGAAGGUAGAAUUCCCGGUGUAGCGGUGAAAUGCGUAGAGAUCGGGAGGAAUACCAGUGGCGAAGGCGGCCUUCUGGACUGACACUGACACUGAGGUGCGAAAGCGUGGGUAGCAAACAGGAUUAGAUACCCUAGUAGUC